ACCCCUAAGGCGAGGCCGAAAGGCGUAGUCGAUGGGAAACAGGUUAAUAUUCCUGUACUUGGUGUUACUGCGAAGGGGGGACGGAGAAGGCUAUGUUAGCCGGGCGACGGUUGUCCCGGUUUAAGCAUGUAGGCUGGUUAUCCAGGCAAAUCCGGAUAACCAAGGCUGAGGUGUGAUGACGAGGCACUACGGUGCUGAAGUAACAAAUGCCCUGCUUCCAGGAAAAGCCUCUAAGCAUCAGGUAACAUUAAAUCGUACCCCAAACCGACACAGGUGGUCAGGUAGAGAAUACCAAGGCGCUUGAGAGACCUCGGGUGAAGGAACUAGGCAAAAUGGUGCCGUAACUUCGGGAGAAGGCACGCUGGUGUGU
This 370-nucleotide ribosomal RNA is filed under the name Acinetobacter baumannii. Its description in RNAcentral is "partial 23S ribosomal RNA". It matches the Rfam family "Bacterial large subunit ribosomal RNA", at positions 1387 to 1759 of the family's 2925-position model. Lineage: Bacteria; Pseudomonadati; Pseudomonadota; Gammaproteobacteria; Moraxellales; Moraxellaceae. The record is from RNAcentral.